UUAUAUAGGUUAGCCUGAGAAUGUGUUAAAGUUUAUUAAACUUUUUUUAAUUAUUAUAGAUCAAAAUAUUGGUAAUAGGAAAGGAGGAAUAGUACAAGUGUUGGAAAUAUUAGGUUUAAAGCUAUAGAGAGAGUACUGUAAAGGAAGAUUGAAAGAUUAUGAAAUAGGAAUAAUACGUAAAGAAAGUUUGAAUACCUGUACCUUUUGUAUAAUGGUUUAGUUAGAAUUAUUAAAGAGAGUUUUAUGGCCCGAAGCUAAGUGAUUUAAUGUAUUCUGUUUACAGAGAGAGGGUUUUUACUGUUGCAAAAGUAAGACUUGAGGAUACAUUGGGGGUGAUAUGCUAAUCGAACUUAGGGAUAGCUGGUUUUUUGAGAAAGUAGUGUAAGCUAAAUUUGCAGGUUUAUUUGAUAUAGGUAUCUUUAAGGAUAAGUUAUGUUAUUGUAAAUAAUAUUGUGUUUUUUAGACAAAUAGGGAUAAGCUUGUUUGUCGAAGAAGAAAAAACUUUUUUUAUUGAUUAAAAAUAUUUUUAUAAUUACGUGUUGUGAUAAAAAAGGGAGUAGGAUUAGAAUCAUCUAUCUUUUAAAAAGCGUUAAAGCUUACUUUUUGUGAAUAAUGUGGAAGAUUUUAUGAAAAAGUUUGAUGUUGUAAAAUUGUUAUCAAAAAAUUUUAUAUUUUUUAAAAGUUAAAAUGCUAGAAUUAGUAAGAAGAGAAAGGAGAUUUUUUGAGAAUUAAUCACGCCUAACGGUUGGAUGGGAAAAUUUGAUAGAGAAGCAGGAAAGUGCAUUUUUUUAUUGUCUUCCAACUCAGGAAAUCGUUAAAAUACCUUAACUAAGGGAAAGGAACUCGGCAAACGUAGAUUUCGCCUGUUUACCAAAAACAUCGCUCCUUGAAAAGAUUUCUAAUAUAUAAGGAGUUCUGCCUGCCCAGUGACAAAGUUAAACGGCCGCGGUAUUUUGACCGUGCAAAGGUAGCAUAAUCAUUUGCCUUUUAAAUGGAGGCUGGUAUGAAUGGCAAGACGGAGAUUUAGCUGUCUCUCUCUUAGAGUUUUGAAUUUAAUAUUUUUGUGAAGAAGCGAAAAUAGAGUCGUAGGACGAGAAGACCCUAUCGAGCUUAAGUAAUAGGUAUAGGUUUGUAGUGUGUCUACAGUAUUAAUUAUUCUUUUAAAGAAGAAAAUUAGUUUUAUUAUGGGGGCACAGGAAUAUUGUAUCUUUUGUUUAGAUUGGGGCAAUCGCGGAAAAAAUAAAACUUCCGUUGUAGAUAAUAGGAAAGUGACUCCUUUAUAUUAUAAUUAGUUAUAUUGAAAUGAUCCGUUUUUAGAAAGCGAGUAAAGGAAUAAGUUACCGUAGGGAUAACAGCGUAAUUUUUUUGGAGAGUUCAUAUUGAUAAAAGAGUUUGCGACCUCGAUGUUGGAUCGGGACUUCCAGAGGAUGCAGCAGUUCUCAAGGGUUGGUCUGUUCGACCAUUAAAGUCCUACGUGAUCUGAGUUCAGACCGGUGAAAGCCAGGUCAGUUUCUAUCCACGAUAGAAGUUUCUUCUCUUAGUACGAAAGGAUUAGAGAGGAAGUGCCAAUUUUUUUAAAAAUGCAUUAGAAGAAAAUUCUGUAGUUAAAUUAAGAUUUUAAAACUAGUUGGAAAUACUUAAAGUUG
This 1646-nucleotide ribosomal RNA is filed under the name Styracaster yapensis. Its description in RNAcentral is "16S ribosomal RNA". The stretch from base 82 to 1538 matches the Rfam family "Bacterial large subunit ribosomal RNA". Lineage: Eukaryota; Metazoa; Echinodermata; Asteroidea; Paxillosida; Porcellanasteridae. The record is from RNAcentral.